Molecule: long non-coding RNA, 1463 nt
Filed under: Ananas comosus (pineapple)
Lineage: Eukaryota; Viridiplantae; Streptophyta; Magnoliopsida; Poales; Bromeliaceae
Description: long non-coding RNA (ACOM_LNC010781)
Source: RNAcentral
AUCGGUAGCACGGAGCGCUCCGUGCUACCAAGUUGUUUUCGAUGAUGCGGCUUCCAAAUCGACGAUCGGCUCCGUUAGACUUGAUCUACACUAUUAAAAGUAUUUGGAAACUAAAUUUCAGAUUUUUUCGACAUCAUUUGACACGUGAUCAAAAGAUCUCAAAAUUAAUAAUUUUAAAGGCCGAUGUGGUGUGUUUGUGAGUUUAACGGUGUAAAACAAUCCAAAUGCGAUGAAAAUUUUAUAGAAAAUUUUUUUCACUAUUUAGAGUAAGAUCAGUAUAUCUGAUCUUGAAUUUAAAUCUUUUAUCAUCAUUUUUCAUGAGAUUUUUAUUUUCAGCCGUUCAAUUUUAGACUACUUGUUUGAUAGGUAAAUGAUAUCGAAAAAUUAUGAAAUUUAGUUUCUAAAUACUUUCAAUAGUGUAGAUCAUAGUGGGCUGGGUCGUUACAUUUGGUAUCAGAGCCGGUUCACCAGCUGGACAUGUGUGGCGAGUCUCGGCUGAGCCAGGGUCUGGAUGACGGGCUAGCGAGACGAGUCUCACAUCGCCUGGUGGUGAUCUUGGGCUGAGUGUGUGAUUGGACUGACGAGGACGUCAGGGCCUUAACGGGGGGAGUCUGUGACACCCCAAUAGUCCCACAUCGGAUGGGAAUGGGGUUGUCAUUGGGUUUAUAAGAGACUUAAACACUAGUAAUAAUAACUGGGCUUAAGCAUUUUGGGCCGGUGGUUUGGGCCCAACGAGUUAUUGUUGCUAGUGGGUUGGGUCGUUACAUUUGGUAUCAGAGCCGGUUCACCAGCUGGACAUGUGUGGCGAGUCUCGGCUGAGCCAGGGUCUGGAUGACGGGCUAGCGAGACGAGUCUCACAUAGCCUGGUGAUCUUGGGCUGUGUGUGUUUGGACUGACGAGGACGUCAGGGCCUUAACGGGGGGAGUCUGUGACACCCCAUUAGUCCCACAUCGGAUGGGAAUGGGGUUGUCAUUGGGUUUAUAAGAGACUUAGACACUAGUAAUAAUAACUGGGCUUAAGCAUUUUGGGCCGGUUGUUGGGCCCAACGAGUUAUUGUUGCUAGUGGGCUGGGUCGUUACAAGUCUAACGGAGCCGAUCGUCGAUUUGAAAGCCGUAUCAUCGAAAACAACUUGGUAGCACGGAGCGCUCCGUGUUACCGAUAGUAUAGUAGCCUAGUUCUAUAUAUAUAUAUAUAUAUAUAUAUAGAACUAGGCUACUAUACUAUCAAUAGUACCAACCCCUUGGUACUAUUGAGUUUUCGGCCGUUGGACGAAAGGAUGUGCGGUUAGGAUAAUAGUGAUCCCUGGUUAAAUUGAUAGUGGUCCCUAGGGUUGAGUGGGUGGUUGGUUUAAUAGUAUAAUCUAACGGGUGGAAAUGAUCAAGGGGUAGAUCUAACGGUAGAAAACUCAAUAAUACCAAAGGUUUUGUACUAUCGAUAGUAUAGUAGCCGGACUCUCUAUAUA